Molecule: transfer RNA, 66 nt
Filed under: Herona marathus
Lineage: Eukaryota; Metazoa; Arthropoda; Insecta; Lepidoptera; Nymphalidae
Description: tRNA-Arg
Source: RNAcentral
AAAUAAGAAGCAAUUUUGCAUUUAAUUUCGACUUAAAAGUUAGAAUAUAAUUAUAUUCCUUAUUUA